RNAcentral lists this long non-coding RNA (2280 nucleotides) under Homo sapiens (human). RNAcentral describes it as "non-protein coding lnc-RPS6KA2-1:1". The record is from RNAcentral. Lineage: Eukaryota; Metazoa; Chordata; Mammalia; Primates; Hominidae.
UGACUGUUUGUGAAAUAAAUUGGCAACAGUGUCUUUGCUCUCAUGGUGUCUGCUUACCUGUGCAGCCAUUUUUCCAGAGUGUGGGGAGCAGUGGACUUGAGGAAGGAGUCUACCAGCCCUUUCCAGACUCCCCCUCAACCCCAACCCCAGGAAGCCGUAAGAUGAUCGCUUGCAGGGCCCUCACCGUCCUCACCUGGACUCAUGUGCGAAUAGAUGAGGGACAUGUGCCUGCCAUGUUUGCCCAGAGCUCGGUGUUCAGGGAACUGAUUACAGGGGUGGCAAAAGCCACAGGGGCCACACAUUUGCUGAGCUGCUUCCAGGUGCGAACGGCGCUUGUUUGGGCAUCAGAAACAGCACGGUGGAUACUCGGAGUCCUGUCCUUUGAAAGGAGUUUGAUUUAUCAUCAGGAGAAAUUUGUUGCUUUUGCAUCCAGCAUCCAGCCACGUAUCCACUCAUCUGUUUUAUGGGGAAAUCAGGGCUGCGGGAGCACCCAGGAGAGCUGCCGACCCAGACAUUUCCUGGGAAAUGCGUUGCUGAGAUGGAGGCCUGCAGCCUGCCCAGGCCCUGAGGGGAGUGGUUCAGUGGAGCAGAGCUGGGGGCUGGGGGCUGGGAGAUAUGGGACCAGUUGCUUCUUGAGGGGGCUCAGGGGCAGAGCAGGAGGGUUGGGAAGGGGCCGGGUGGGAGCCAUAGACAUGAGGACCUCAUCCUCCAGCAGCGCUGAGCUCUGAGUAGGCCGGGGUGUUUGCUUGUUGCUGUCCCCGUGGUACUGGGGAGAGGCUAGGCACAGAGACCCUCCGAGUAGGUCACAUGCUGGGGGAAUCUGGGCCUAUGGCUAUGCAGCUGGAGAGGAAGGGAUAGUGUGGGGAGCUUGGACUUGGCCGUUUGGGACAGGGGGAUGGGAGAGGCAGAGGUCCUGCCUCAGGCCUCCAUAGGAGUGACAUUUGCUGGUGUCAGAAGCUUGGCAAGAGGGGAGGAUGAUCAGACCCUGCAUGGACAGUUCGAAUUGGAGCUCUCUGCAGAGUCCAGGAAGAGAGGUCUGGAUGGGAGGGAAGCCAUGGGGUGGAAAAGAUAGCUUCCAAUGGAAGGCAGUGAAAACUCGCCAUAAGUGAAGGAGAAGAAGGAGGCCAAGGAGAUGGGGCAGGAAUGGCAGCCGGCAGCCAGGCGGUCAGUGGAGCAGGUGCUCAGGAGGCCCACAGGAGAGCUUCGUGGAAGGAGUGGACAGUGUCUGAGGCAAGGGGCAAAAGGCAUCUGCUGGAGCUGGUGACCCCAGCUUGGUGCCCCCCAAAGCCAGAGUACGAGGCUGAGAGGAUGCAGGUGUCCUCCUAGGAGGUUUGAGUCAGAAGGCACGAGGCAGAAGCAGUGGGGGAGGACUCCCUCAGUAGAGCGAGGAGGAGGCCCCUCAUCCAAGAGGAGGUUGGAGCACAGGGGGGUCUAGGUUUGCAGUUUCGGGACCGGUAGCUGAGGGGUCCCAGGGCCUUUCUUCUGUGAAGGAGAAUGUGUCCACCGUGGGGAGGGGGUCGGGAGAGAGAGAUACUUCAGAGUGGACAGGGCUGAGAAAGCUUUAUGGGCCGCGAAAGGCAGAGUAGUUGUUGGUGGAUGAGGGUGGCUGUGGCAGGUGGCGUUUCAGGUGAGACAGCUCGGGGCCCAGAAAGACACUGGGAGGAGGAGAGCUCUGCUCUCCAGAGAAACAGGAGCAGAGAGGAAAACAGAGCCGCAGCGAGCGGCUUGUGGUCUGGGGAUGAAGCCCAGGUUGACAGCAUCCUCUGCUUCGCUGGUGGAGGUGGGGGCAUCAUUCUCACACCUGUGCUGGGUCCUGUCCCUGCCAGCCAAGGGAGACCAGGACCCUGCCACUGUUGCGCUCAGGAUAGUCCAGAACUGUCAGAUCUUUUCUGUUGAAGUUUAAUUUCUAAUACACUUGUAUUUAAAAUCAGGUUGCAGAUUUUAAAGAUGCCCUUGCCAGAGUAUAUGGAGUGAUACCCAAAAUCCAGUGCCUUCCACCAAGCCAGGAUGAGGAAGUACAGACAAUUGGUCAGAUAGAACUGUGCCUCACUAAGCAAGACCAGCAGCUGCAAAACUGCACCGAGCCGGGGGAGCAGCCGUCCCCCAAGCAGGAAGUCUGGCUGGCAAAUGGGGCCGCCGAGAGCCGGGGUCUGAGAGUCUGUGAAGAUGGCCCAGUCUUCUAUCCCCCACCUAAAAAGACCAAGCAUUGAUGCCCAAGUUUUGGAAAUAUUCUGUUUUAAAAAGCAAGAGAAAUUCACAAACUGCAGCUUUCUAAAAAAC